GUUGAGAUGGCCUAUUUGGUCUAAGGCGCCAGAUUCAGGUACUGGUCCGAAAGGGCGUGGGUUCAAAUCCCACUCUCAACA
RNAcentral lists this transfer RNA (81 nucleotides) under Ipomoea nil (Japanese morning glory). It matches the Rfam family "tRNA". From Rfam's summary of the family: Transfer RNA (tRNA) molecules are approximately 80 nucleotides in length. Their secondary structure includes four short double-helical elements and three loops (D, anti-codon, and T loops). Lineage: Eukaryota; Viridiplantae; Streptophyta; Magnoliopsida; Solanales; Convolvulaceae. The record is from Rfam by way of RNAcentral.